RNAcentral lists this ribosomal RNA (719 nucleotides) under uncultured bacterium. Its description in RNAcentral is "bacterial SSU rRNA". It matches the Rfam family "Bacterial small subunit ribosomal RNA", at positions 798 to 1515 of the family's 1533-position model. The record is from RNAcentral.
UGCCGUAAACGAUGUCGACUUGGAGGUUGUUUCCAAGGGAAGUGACUUCCGAAGCUAACGCAUUAAGUCGACCGCCUGGGGAGUACGGCCGCAAGGCUAAAACUCAAAUGAAUCGACGGGGGCCCGCACAAGCGGUGGAGCAUGUGGUUUAAUUCGAUGCAACGCGAAAAACCUUACCUGGUCUUGACAUCCAUAGAAUUUCUUAGAAAUAAGAAAGUGCCUUCGGGAACUAUGAGACAGGUGCUGCAUGGCUGUCGUCAGCUCGUGUCGUGAAAUGUUGGGUUAAGUCCCGCAACGAGCGCAACCCUUAUCCCCUGUUGCCAUCGGUUCGGCCGGGAACUCAGAGGAGACUGCCGGUUAUAAACCGGAGGAAGGUGGGGACGACGUCAAGUCAUCAUGGCCCUUACGACCAGGGCUACACACGUGCUACAAUGGUUUAUACAAAGAGAAGCAAAUCUGCAAAGACAAGCAAACCUCAUAAAGUAAAUCGUAGUCCGGACUGGAGUCUGCAACUCGACUCCACGAAGUCGGAAUCGCUAGUAAUCGUGGAUCAGAAUGCCACGGUGAAUACGUUCCCGGGCCUUGUACACACCGCCCGUCACACCAUGGGAGUGGGUUGCAAAAGAAGCAGAUAUCCCACCAUUUUUUGGAAGGCGUCUACCACUUUGUGAUUCAUGACUGGGGUGAAGUCGUAACAAGGUAACCGUAGGGGAACCUGC